GCAGCAUGCGCGUGAUGAGAAGGCCUUCGGGUUGUAAAGUUCUUUCGGUAGCGAGGAAGGCAUUUAGUUUAAUAAACUGGAUGAUUGACGUUAACUACAGAAGAAGCACCGGCUAACUCCGUGCCAGCAGCCGCGGUAAUACGGAGGGUGCGAGCGUUAAUCGGAAUAACUGGGCGUAAAGGGCACGCAGGCGGUGACUUAAGUGAGGUGUGAAAGCCCCGGGCUUAACCUGGGAAUUGCAUUUCAUACUGGGUCGCUAGAGUACUUUAGGGAGGGGUAGAAUUCCACGUGUAGCGGUGAAAUGCGUAGAGAUGUGGAGGAAUACCGAAGGCGAAGGCAGCCCCUUGGGAAUGUACUGACGCUCAUGUGCGAAAGCGUGGGGAGCAAACA
RNAcentral lists this ribosomal RNA (390 nucleotides) under Parahaemophilus parainfluenzae. RNAcentral's name for it is "Haemophilus parainfluenzae bacterial SSU rRNA". It matches the Rfam family "Bacterial small subunit ribosomal RNA", at positions 388 to 774 of the family's 1533-position model. Lineage: Bacteria; Pseudomonadati; Pseudomonadota; Gammaproteobacteria; Pasteurellales; Pasteurellaceae. The record is from RNAcentral.